UGCCGCAGUCUUAAAGACCCUG
Molecule: microRNA, 22 nt
Filed under: Picea abies (Norway spruce)
Lineage: Eukaryota; Viridiplantae; Streptophyta; Pinopsida; Pinales; Pinaceae
Description: pab-miR11541
Source: miRBase by way of RNAcentral